RNAcentral lists this ribosomal RNA (548 nucleotides) under uncultured bacterium. RNAcentral describes it as "bacterial SSU rRNA". It matches the Rfam family "Bacterial small subunit ribosomal RNA", at positions 572 to 1120 of the family's 1533-position model. The record is from RNAcentral.
CAAGAAAAUUUCUUAAGUCUGAUGUGAAAGCCCACGGCUCAACCGUGGAGGGUCAUUGGAAACUGGGAAACUUGAGUGCAGAAAAGGAAAGUGGAAUUCCAUGUGUAGCGGUGAAAUGCGUAGAGAUAUGGAGGAACACCAGUGGCGAAGGCGACUUUCUGGUCUGUAACUGACACUGAGGCGCGAAAGCGUGGGGAGCAAACAGGAUUAAAUACCCUGGUAGUCCACGCCGUAAACGAUGAGUGCUAAGUGUUAGAGGGUUUCCGCCCCUUAGUGCUGAAGUUAACGCAUUAAGCACUCCGCCUGGGGAGUACGGCCGCAAGGCUGAAACUCAAAGGAAUUGACGGGGGCCCGCACAAGCGGUGGAGCAUGUGGUUUAAUUCGAAGCAACGCGAAGAACCUUACCAGGUCUUGACAUCCUCUGACAACCCUAGAUAAUGACUUCCCCUUCAGGAGCAGAGUGACCGUGGGGCCUGGUUGUCCUCAGCUCGUGUCGUGAGAUGUUGGGUUUAGUCCCGGAGGAGCGCAACUCCAAACCCCCUUUUUUU